Molecule: ribosomal RNA, 468 nt
Filed under: uncultured bacterium
Lineage: Bacteria
Description: partial 16S ribosomal RNA
Rfam family: Bacterial small subunit ribosomal RNA
Source: RNAcentral
GACGAACGCUGGCGGCGUGCUUAACACAUGCAAGUCGAACGGAAAGGCCCUGCUUUUGUGGGGUGCUCGAGUGGCGAAAGGGUGAGUAACACGUGAGUAACCUGCCCUUGACUUUGGGAUAACUUCAGGAAACUGGGGCUAAUACCGGAUAGGAGCUCCUGCUGCAUGGUGGGGGUUGGAAAGUUUCGGCGGUUGGGGAUGGACUCGCGGCUUAUCAGCUUGUUGGUGGGGUAGUGGCUUACCAAGGCGUUGACGGGUAGCCGGCCUGGGAGGGUGACCGGCCACAUUGGGACUGAGAUACGGCCCAGACUCCUACGGGAGGCAGCAGUGGGGAAUAUUGCGCAAUGGGCGGAAGCCUGAUGCAGCAACGCCGCGUGCGGGAUGACGGCCUUCGGGUUGUAAACCGCUUUCGCCUGUGACGAAGCGUGAGUGACGGUAAUGGGUAAAGAAGCACCGGCUAACUACGCG